RNAcentral lists this small RNA (119 nucleotides) under Escherichia coli. RNAcentral describes it as "RtT sRNA". It matches the Rfam family "RtT RNA". Rfam says of the family: This family represents a bacterial cis-regulatory element known as RtT RNA. Lineage: Bacteria; Pseudomonadati; Pseudomonadota; Gammaproteobacteria; Enterobacterales; Enterobacteriaceae. The record is from RNAcentral.
GUAUCUGAAGCCUGACGAGGAUGAGAACCUCCGGGGGCAAGAGGUUCGACUCGAGCGAAGCGAGAGAACGUUGCGUCAGCAACGGCCCGCAGUGGCAAGUCAUACUCUGUCACCGGCAG